GCGGCGGGACGCGAGCGGCGAGCCGGAGCGCGGAGCCCGGCUCCCGCACCAUGGAGGAGGACGACAGCUACGUUCCCAGUGACCUGACAGCAGAGGAGCGUCAAGAACUGGAGAACAUCCGACGGAGAAAACAGGAGCUGCUGGCUGACAUUCAGGUAGGAGAGUGGCAUGGUGGUUUCACCAACGUAAGAACCACAGUGACAGUUCCAUUUGUAUGAAAGGGUGUCCUUUGCAGAGUGUCUCCUCAAGACACUUUUGACCUGCCCUCACUACAGCUCUGCACAAAGCGUAGGUGUUGAUAAUCAGUCACCUUUCCUCUACAGCUGAGGAGAUGCAGUGUCAGAGAGGUUGAGUGGCUUGUCCAGGUUCACCCAGUUGGUCGGUUGUCGGAGCUGGAGAUAGCCUGCAAGACUCCUGUCUCCUGAGUAGUCCUCUCUGCUGUGUUUGCCCUUGC
Molecule: long non-coding RNA, 454 nt
Filed under: Homo sapiens (human)
Lineage: Eukaryota; Metazoa; Chordata; Mammalia; Primates; Hominidae
Description: non-protein coding lnc-USP36-4:1
Source: RNAcentral